AUGCAAGUCGUACGCACAGCAAUGUGAGUGGCGCAAGGGUGAGUAAUGCGAAGGUAACCAACCCUGAAGUUGGGCAUAGCCGCGGGAAACUGCGGGUAAUUCCCAGCGACGUUGCGAGAUGGCAUCAUUUUGCAACCAAAGGUGUGAUUCCGCUUUAGGACGGGCCUUCGUGGUAUUAGGUAGUUGGUGAGGUAACGGCUCACAAGCCUACGAUGCCUACCGGGUGUGAGAGCAUGACCCGGCACACUGGAACUGAGACACUGUCCAGACACCUACGGGUGGCUGCAGUCGAGAAUCUUCGGCAAUGGGCGAAAGCCUGACCGAGCGACGCCGCGUGAGGGAUUGAAGGCCUUCGGGUUGUAAACCUCUUUCGUAGAGGAGGAAGGGGCUGUGAAGAACAGUCCUUGACCUAUUCUAGGAAGAAGCUUGGGCUAAGUUCGUGCCAGCAGCCGCGGUAAGACGAACCAAGCGAACGUUAUUCGGAAUUACUGGGCUUAAAGCGCGUGUAGGCGGAUUACCACGUUGGUUGUUGAAAUCCCCCGGCUUAACCGGGGAACUGGCACCAAUACGAGUAGUCUGGAGGUGGGUAGGGGAGACUGGAACUUCCGGUGGAGCGGUGAAAUGCGUUGAGAUCGGAAGGAACGCCCGCGGCGAAAGCGAGUCUCUGGACCCAUACUGACGCUGAGACGCGAAAGCCAGGGGAGCAGACGGUAUUAGAUACCCCGGUAG
Molecule: ribosomal RNA, 729 nt
Filed under: uncultured Planctomycetota bacterium
Lineage: Bacteria; Pseudomonadati; Planctomycetota
Description: bacterial SSU rRNA
Rfam family: Bacterial small subunit ribosomal RNA
Source: RNAcentral